RNAcentral lists this ribosomal RNA (468 nucleotides) under uncultured bacterium. Its description in RNAcentral is "partial 16S ribosomal RNA". It matches the Rfam family "Bacterial small subunit ribosomal RNA", at positions 28 to 507 of the family's 1533-position model. The record is from RNAcentral.
GACGAACGCUGGCGGCGUGCUUAACACAUGCAAGUCGAACGGAAAGGCCCUGCUUUUGUGGGGUGCUCGAGUGGCGAACGGGUGAGUAACACGUGAGUAACCUGCCCUUAACUUUGGGAUAACUUCAGGAAACUGGGGCUAAUACCGGAUAGGAGCUCCUGCUGCAUGGUGGGGGUUGGAAAGUUUCGGCGGUUGGGGAUGGACUCGCGGCUUAUCAGCUUGUUGGUGGGGUAGUGGCUUACCAAGGCUUUGACGGGUAGCCGGCCUGAGAGGGUGACCGGCCACAUUGGGACUGCGAUACGGCCCAGACUCCUACGGGAGGCAGCAGUGGGGAAUAUUGCACAAUGGGCGGACGCCUGAUGCAGCAACGCCGCGUGCGGGAUGACGGCCUUCGGGUUGUAAACCGCUUUCGCCUGUGACGAAGCGUGAGUGACGGUAAUGGGUAAAGAAGCACCGGCUAACUACGUG